RNAcentral lists this ribosomal RNA (490 nucleotides) under uncultured bacterium. RNAcentral describes it as "partial 16S ribosomal RNA". It matches the Rfam family "Bacterial small subunit ribosomal RNA", at positions 30 to 507 of the family's 1533-position model. The record is from RNAcentral.
AUUGAACGCUGGCGGCAGGCCUAACACAUGCAAGUCGAACGGUAACAGGAAGAAGCUUGCCUCUUUGCUGACGAGUGGCGGACGGGUGAGUAAUGUCUGGGAAACUGCCUGAUGGAGGGGGAUAACUACUGGAAACGGUAGCUAAUACCGCAUAACGUCGCAAGACCAAAAAGGGGGACCUUCGGGCCUCUUGCCAUCGGAUGUGCCCAGAUGGGAUUAGCUAGUAGGUGGGGUAACGGCUCACCUAGGCGACGAUCCCUAGCUGGUCUGAGAGGAUGACCAGCCACACUGGAACUGAGACACGGCCCAGACUCCUACGGGAGGCAGCAGUGGGGAAUAUUGCACAAUGGGCGCAAGCCUGAUGCAGCCAUGCCGCGUGUAUGAAGAAGGCCUUCGGGUUGUAAAGUACUUUCAGCGGGGAGGAAGGGAGUAAAGUUAAUACCUUGGCUCAUUGACGUUACCCGCAGAAGAAGCACCGGCUAACUCCGUG